GUGGGGAAUAUUGGACAAUGGGGGGUACCCUGAUCCAGCCAUGCCGCGUGUGUGAAGAAGGCCUUUUGGUUGUAAAGCACUUUAAGCGAGGAGGAGGCUACCGAGAUUAAUACUCUUGGAUAGUGGACGUUACUCGCAGAAUAAGCACCGGCUAACUCUGUGCCAGCAGCCGCGGUAAUACAGAGGGUGCAAGCGUUAAUCGGAUUUACUGGGCGUAAAGCGCGCGUAGGUGGCCAAUUAAGUCAAAUGUGAAAUCCCCGAGCUUAACUUGGGAAUUGCAUUCGAUACUGGUUGGCUAGAGUAUGGGAGAGGAUGGUAGAAUUCCAGGUGUAGCGGUGAAAUGCGUAGAGAUCUGGAGGAAUACCGAUGGCGAAGGCAGCCAUCUGGCCUAAUACUGACACUGAGGUGCGAAAGCAUGGGGAGCAAACAGGAUUAGAAACCCUGGUAGUCC
This 451-nucleotide ribosomal RNA is filed under the name uncultured bacterium. RNAcentral describes it as "partial 16S ribosomal RNA". It matches the Rfam family "Bacterial small subunit ribosomal RNA", at positions 354 to 796 of the family's 1533-position model. The record is from RNAcentral.